GCGCCCAGAGGCAUGAAAUCCCUAAGGGGAUAUUUAGCAGAACUCGCAGAACUGCCACUGGAGUGUCAGCCGACAGAGGUUACACCUUGUAACUCCCUGGUUUUUUAACUGCAUGUAUUAAGCUCUCAUGGGACGAAAAUGUUAAAACACGAAAUGAUGAGUGAAUGAAGGCGGGAGUUACUGGAAGAAAGGUAAGGUAAAUGAUAACGAAAUUUCCUUAAGUGCUACACUAAGGAUUCAAACAAGAUAAAUGGCUCAAAGGGUAAUUUCAUGAUGAGUAUGAAGAGAAGAAAGAAGGAAAUAAAAGAAAAAUAAAAUCAAAUGAAAGGUUCAGAAGAGUAGGAGGGUUCUUCAACUCAGAAUUUUCAAUGACUGACAGUGUUUAUACAUAUGUAACAGUAAGGCUGACCUCAGUCUGAAGAUCUUGGCCCAGCUACCUCAGUGUUUUCAGUCAGAGGAGAUGUUGCCCCUACCAUAUGUGGUAAUUUGGCAAUGUAAAGGGACACCUUUUGGUUGUCAGAACAGGAUGCUACUAACAUCCGGUGGGUCAAGAGCUGGGAUGCAGCUGUCAACCCCUGUAACUGAAGACCACCAGGAACACCCCUGUAGUUAAACAAGUUGUUUUUAUGGUUUUUGCAACAAGAAAGAACACAUACCAUGGAGAAUGGUGGUGUAGCUCAGUAGGAUGGUGUUGGAAAGAACUGAUGAUAAGAUUUUGGUCUUAUCUUAGUUGAGUGAUUUGGGGAAGAACUAAAAAAAUAGGAAUUUGCUCUAGAUUGAAUGCUGUCAGAAAGUGGGGACGAUUCUAUAACUUGGGUAUCUCAAUAAAUUUUGUCUAGAAGGA
RNAcentral lists this long non-coding RNA (844 nucleotides) under Homo sapiens (human). RNAcentral's name for it is "HSALNT0097290". Lineage: Eukaryota; Metazoa; Chordata; Mammalia; Primates; Hominidae. The record is from RNAcentral.